Malus domestica (apple) is the source of this 863-nucleotide long non-coding RNA. RefSeq lists it as uncharacterized. The record is from RefSeq and is a predicted model, not a curated record. Lineage: Eukaryota; Viridiplantae; Streptophyta; Magnoliopsida; Rosales; Rosaceae.
UAUAAAAUUAAAAAAACAAAAAACCUAAUCUGUAAUACUGUAACCUAUUCGUUCUCUCCGCCAGGAGGCCAGGACUAGACUCUAUCCGCCGCUUGUCUCUUUCUCCUUGCUGCUCCCUCUCAUCUCCGCCGCUCAUCUCUCUCCUCACUUGUCUCUCCUUGCUGCUCCCUCUCAUCUCCACCGCUCAUCUCUCUCUCCUCGAUGCCCUCUCUCUCUCAUCGUUGCUCAUCUCUCUCUCAUCGUUGCUCGGCUCCCUCCCCUUGUUGCUCAUCUUAAUGCCCCAUCUCGAUCUCCCCCCACCCACCCUUCAAGGUGCUGCAGAUUGCCAUAGAAGUAUAUCUUAGCCAAACGAAAAAAGGUACUAAAAUGAAACUUCAAUCUUCGUUCACAACUUAUAUAUGAUGAUAAGUAACUAAUUAUAUGUGAUUGAAGAAGUACCUAACUGGGAGUCUUAAACCAUGUGAUUGAAGAAGUACCUAGCUGGGAGGCAAUUAAUUCUUGAAUGCCCAACAAUUCUCAUGCUUUGAACCAUUUGCUAGUAUUCACCUCUCGGUAUUUCUGGACUAGGAAAUUGGUCCACAGUAUAUUAAGUUGGCAUGCAUUCAGACUAGUAACAUUCCUUGGAAUCUUUCAGGAAAGCUGAAGAUUUUAAAUUUCUGUUUCUCUUAACGUUGCACUGAGGAUUGCUAAAUUUUUUGGAUGUAGCCUAUACCUCUGAGUCCUUGUCUUGCCAAAUUUGCAUACUUUAUGACAUGAUUGGAUGUAGAUUGUAGUUAUGAGUCAUUCUGACUCCGAAUGAUAUAUCAAGGGUUCAUGUAAUCUUUUCUCAAAGUUUUGAUGGAGAUUAGUAAUUUCAUUGUAAA